Molecule: long non-coding RNA, 2419 nt
Organism: Arvicola amphibius (Eurasian water vole)
Lineage: Eukaryota; Metazoa; Chordata; Mammalia; Rodentia; Cricetidae
Exons: 3
Source: RefSeq, a predicted model, not a curated record
UUGGGAAGGCCGCUAGGGAAAUACCGGCAUCCCUAACGCCAAAACGACCGGUGGGUCCGCGUGCUAGGAACUCGAGCGCAGCAGAGGCAGGUGGGGGGCAGGGGGAGAGUCUGCUGGACUGUAAAAUAGCUUUAUCUUUUCAAAACCGGAAGUUCCGAGUGGACACGUGGGACGAGGGUUCGGUUAAAUAACUCAGGAUAGUGCCUAGCACCGUUUCAGUGUGUUCCUGGAAAAGAAAGGAAUCUUUAAGAUGCCUCAGACCGAUGAGUGGAGUGUGAUAAGCACUGAGCUGGAGGCUUCCUAAAACAGUGUGUGCAUCCGUGUUGAAUCCUAGAGGAAACACUGAUUUCGACUGGACAAUUUUAAUUUGGUUGAUAGGACUUCUGAAAAACUCUGGUGAACUUUGCUUUAAGCUGAUGUUAGCAUUUCACCGAGAGGAUCGAUCAGGACGUUCUGGAUUAGAGGAGUUGAUUUCUCAUAACCUUGGGUGAAAACACCUAUUUACAGUAGAAUUCCUUGAACAGAGGACAGGAAGGGCAGAAUGGGUCGCCACCGCGCAUAGCCGGUUUAAGAAGCCGGUCCCUGAAGCUGGGUGCCUGCUGGGGUCCAACUCUACCACUCUUGGGCGUGGGGUACACGGAUUUUCACAGACUUCCCUCGUUGGUGUUAUAGCAACAGUCUAGAGAUUGGGAAAACAAGGCAUAAGGGUUCCCAAGUUCAGUUCCUCACACCCGCACCAGGUGGCUCAACCUCCUGUAAGCCCAGUUCCAGGGGAUCCGACACCCUCUUCUGCCUUCUGAGGGCAUGUGCAUGUCUGUGUACUUGGAAGAAGCACACACACUUAAAUAAACACAGAAGACCUGGAAAACUGAGGCCCAAGUAGGAUGGAAUUGAGAGAAAACAAACAAACAAAAAAAAAAAAAACAAAAGGAAGAGAUGAUGCUAAUUUUCAUUGUUUGGCGACUUCUGAUUCACUGGUGGAUGGGAAAUAAAAAAAAUUAGCAACAUUCGCUUCGCAAAUCCUGCUAAACUGAGUAAAAAGUUUCUCCUCUGUAAACUCAAAAGGACAAGGAAGUCGGUAGAAGAGACGGUAGCAGAACUAAAAGAACUGGAAGACGGCUAAAAAGGGGUUAAAAGCCAGGAAUCGAAGCAUUGCAUUAAUUCCAAGAACUUGUCAUGGUUUAGGGAUUAGUAACAGAGAGUGGUUUUCGUGUGAAAUGUCCGCCGUAGAUAGUUAUGUUUGAACACUUGGUCCCCAGCUGCUCCUGCUGCUUGGACUGUCACACCAGUCUGGUCCUGGUGGAUGGAAAGAACGGGAAUUGAGAAAGACCUGAAGAUACUGACGGAGCCCAGUGCAGACCCCUGAGCUCCUGCCAUGUGCUCAGAGAGCUCAGUCAAUCUUAUGACCUCUCCUAAGUGGAUCAGACACCAUGACACCAUCAGUAGUAUGAGGAACAUGUAUAAAAUCCAUAAUAGAGACCGAAGAAGGACGUGAGACGGUAGACAGACUCAGAGAAGAUGAGUUUGUAUUGAACAGAUGGAGACGAAAACUUAAGGGAAAAUGUUCCCGCCACUCUCCGGGAACAAAAGACAAUUCUGCCUGAAUAGAAAGAAUGAUUUGCUGUGUAAAGCAGCAAUGGUAGAGCACAAAGGACGGCCUAGAAACCAAGGGUAAAACACAGAAGCUAAAAACGAAUAUAAAAAAAAGAUGGAAACACUUCCCCAAGUGUUUCCUAAAGACCAGUGAAAAGCCAGGUGUGGCACUGCCCGUCUAAACCCCAGCUCUCAGCGUCAGGUAUUCAAAGCCAGCUCGGACAACAAAGGAUUCUCGGCCAGGCUGGGUUACACAAGACCCUGUCUGUGAUAAAACACGGACCAAAGCCAACUUAGAGAGAAAUGUCUUUGCUUUAUCUUAAAAUUCUCGAGGUCACAUUCCAUUACUGAGGGAAGCCGCGGCAGCAGCUAGAACAGGGCAAAAACCUGGUGGCAGGAGCUGAUGCAGAGGCUAUGGAGGGUGCUGCUUACUGGUUUGUUCCCUAUGGCUUGCUCAGCUUGGUUUAUUGUAGAACCCAGGAUCACCUGCUCAGAAUGGUACCACUCAUGGUGAGCUGGGCCUUCCCACAUCAAUCGCCAGGCAGGAAAACACACUACCAUUAAAAAAAAAAAAAAGCAAAGACAAAACAACAACAAAAGGCCAGGUGAAAGAACUGUUUUUAAUUAGACAGCCUGCUAGUGGUCACAUGAAAUGAGGACUAGUUAAGAAAUUACUCAGUUAAUAACUUGCUAAUUUCUAAGCAUGAGUUACCAGGUUGAGAGCACCCAUUCCAUAUCAGAACAAUGAAUGAACAUAAGCUUACUCCAUCAGACACUUGUAAAAUUUCAGAACGCUACAUUUGAAGAUAGAUUGUGAAUACUUCGA